CAGUAGCCACGGGAAUACGUAGGUGGCAAGCGUUGUCCGGAAUCAUUGGGCGUAAAGGGCUCGCAGGCGGUUUCUUAAGUCUGAUGUGAAAGCCCCCGGCUCAACCGGGGAGGGUCAUUGGAAACUGGGAAACUUGAGUGCAGAAGAGGAGAGUGGAAUUCCACGUGUAGCGGUGAAAUGCGUAGAGAUGUGGAGGAACACCAGUGGCGAAGGCGACUCUCUGGUCUGUAACUGACGCUGAGGAGCGAAAGCGUGGGGAGCGAACAGGAUUAGAUACCCCUGUAGUCCCUGUCUCUUAUAC
This 301-nucleotide ribosomal RNA is filed under the name uncultured bacterium. RNAcentral's name for it is "partial 16S ribosomal RNA". It matches the Rfam family "Bacterial small subunit ribosomal RNA", at positions 509 to 807 of the family's 1533-position model. The record is from RNAcentral.